GAUCUCUAAAAGGUCAUGCUUUUCUAAAAGGGCUGGAGGAAACCAUGAAUGCCCAAUCCUUCUGCCCUACCAUUUAUUAACAAUGUGAUUUUAUAACAUUCUUAUACAGAUGGAAGCCCACUUGAGUUCAAUAGAAUUUGCACCCAAGUAAGAGGGAAGAAAAUUACAGCCUUGAUGGAGAAUAAAUUCAUUUGGACCCAGUAGGAAUAGAUUCAAAGGUUAUGGGAAUUGGGCUAUCAUUUUUGCUGGACUAGACUGAUAGGUUUACAAAUUAGCAGCUCUGUUCUGUAGCCCCCACCCACCCGCUUUAAUCCUGUUAAUCUCGAGGGGAGAUCAUGUAGGGAGCCUUCAAUGUUGUGACCUAAAUUGAAUGAAAUAUUUAAUGCUCCUGAGAGGCAGACACACAUAUUUAAAACACAUGGGUGGGGUUUCAGUGAGAAAAGAAAUGAAAAACGGGAAGGGAGCUCAGCAAAGGAGCCAUGUACAAACCAGGAGAAAGGCAUCAAUGCAAAGGAACUCAAAGCAAAGUGGUACCAAGAACAGUGUAAUUGGAAAAAUGAAAACAGACAGCUUGGGAAUAACAAGGGAGAAAGAGGAGAGAGGAGAAGGAGGAAAAUCCCCCCACCAACAUCAUGUUAGAGCUUGCAGGCCAGCACAGAAACGAAAUGGAUCCAUUGCAUCAAGGCAGGUGACAGGAAAAUUGCAGAAUUGGGAGCUAUAGAUGGAUUUUACCUGUUAAUAGCUAGGGACGGACAAAUCAUGGUGGGGGAGGCAAACAAUAUAGUGGGGUGCACAGCACAUGGUGAUGGUCCAGCUAAAAUUCCAGUUUGCUUGCCAUAUGUGAUAAAAUCCUAUAUAAACACACUGUUGAAAAGCAAGUGCAAUUUAGUGCUCAGAGUGUUGGAUUGGGAUUAGGGAGUGGCAUAUUCAAGUCCCCAUUCAUCCACAAAAUUUUCUGCCAGACUCCCCAUCUCAGCUUAACCUAACCCCAUGGUGUUGUUAUGUAGAUAAAGCAGAUAAUGUGUUUACCAGGUUGAAAGAUGAGAUAUAAAACAAACAACCAAUAAUAAAUAUAAGUAAUAAAUAUAGCCCAGAGAUAAUAAAUGAGGACAGCAUAGAAUUCCUUGUUGAAACGAGAACGAAAAAAAUCAUGGAUUGAAAUCUCCACUGAAUGCUAAAUAGCUCACAUAAUUUUUGUAUGUCAAGAAACUGGCUUCAGACAUAAAUCACCGCUGCUGGUACUGCCUACAUUUCUUGCUUUUUGAUUUCACAAAAUCCUUUGCUGGCCAAUCUGGCUCCAGUUUUAUACUUUAGACCUAAGGUUGUUAAUACAUAGAUACAUAAAUUCCUGUUCAUAUAUGUGUGUGAGAGAGAUUAGCAGAACAAUUAAAGCAACUGGCUACAGCAGCCUCUGGGUUUCACACAUACUUUGCCAAACAGACGGGCUUUGCAUGAAUGUCUUCUAGUUCACUUGCCAAAAUGAUCCCUUU
Molecule: long non-coding RNA, 1490 nt
Organism: Anolis carolinensis (green anole)
Lineage: Eukaryota; Metazoa; Chordata; Lepidosauria; Squamata; Anolidae
Exons: 3
Source: RefSeq, a predicted model, not a curated record